UGGGGAGUCCACACUUGGCUGAUGGGUUCCUGGCUAAUGGACCUCCCAGUUGCUUUCACUUUUUAGUCACUGUGAACGACGGGAGGCCUUGCAGUUGUCUGCUCUUCAUCCUUGGGUCAGAGACACUCCUCCUCCUCAUCUGACCUCGACGAUGCUGCAGAUGUGUGGCAGGUGGAGCGGAGCCACGCCGUGGAAGUCAUUCAGCUCCUGAGCCUGCAGAGGUCUCACGGACAGCACCGUCUGCUCCUCCUUGGCCCUCCGCCGGGAACAGCUGAACCCCUGCUUGCUGUUGUUAAGCCGAACUCCAAAGGCAGGAGGGGUCCUGUCUGAAAUUCGGUGAAAUGGAAUUCUGCUGCAUCUGAACGGGGUUGUGAAUGAAAUCUGAAGUCUGGAUUGACGGACCAGGCAGCCUGCACAAUCAAUCUGCUUAGGAAGAUGAAGCUGCAAAGGGACACACAGCUGUGUCCUUCAGUCUCCCCUGUCACGAGCACUGGGCAGUAAAAGCUGA
Molecule: long non-coding RNA, 508 nt
Organism: Myodes glareolus (Bank vole)
Lineage: Eukaryota; Metazoa; Chordata; Mammalia; Rodentia; Cricetidae
Source: RefSeq, a predicted model, not a curated record